This 746-nucleotide long non-coding RNA is filed under the name Pan troglodytes (chimpanzee). RNAcentral's name for it is "long non-coding RNA NONPTRT009233". The record is from RNAcentral. Lineage: Eukaryota; Metazoa; Chordata; Mammalia; Primates; Hominidae.
GCAGAAAGGAGAACUGAAGGAGAAGUCUAGAGAAGCCAGCUACACCUACAUUAGAAAGAGUGGAACAGAUCACGGGUCACAGGAUUAAGGCUAGAUGGGGUUUGAGAUGUGGGAAGACUUGAGGUCAUUUUGAGUUUUGAGAAAAGGAGAGACAUGAAGAGGCAGAAAACAUGUUUACUGGACCCAGCUACUUUGCAAAAUCCGUCCUGGAAUUUGGCACAUGUAUGGGAUAUGGAUAGAAAAUAAGAGCAAAGAGGAAUUCAAGAUAAUGAAGCAAUAUAAACAAAAGUUGAAAAGAGAAAAUGAGCAUGCAGUGCCUAGAGAUGCCAAGGAAUCCAGAUCACUGAGGUCAGAUAGAUGUGUCUUUCCAGAAUUUGAUGAGGUUAACCAGGUAGAGCCAGAUGGUAGAAAUCCUUGAAUACCAGGCAAGGGAGUUCAUCUCUCCACCUGUAAGCAUGAAGGAACCAUGGGAGAUUUUGCAAAGGGAAUGACCAAAACGAAAAUGGCAUUUAGGAAAUGAGUUUGCCAGAAGUACCUGGGAGAAAUGGGGACUAGGCACUGAGAAUGUAAUUCAUAGCACAGCAGAACAGAUACUAAAAGAUCGUUUUGGAAGCAGAAGGGCUGGUUUCCAGCUUUUCUGAGGUUGUUUCACUGUGGGUAACUGCUAAGGCCUUCACCCUUGAUGCCAGAGGUGCUGAAACACAUUGCCACACGGCGAAAGAAGUGCCCUAUUGGCCCAACCACAU